RNAcentral lists this ribosomal RNA (405 nucleotides) under uncultured bacterium. Its description in RNAcentral is "partial 16S ribosomal RNA". It matches the Rfam family "Bacterial small subunit ribosomal RNA", at positions 30 to 526 of the family's 1533-position model. The record is from RNAcentral.
AUUGAACGCUGGCGGCAGGCUUAACACCUGCAAGUCGACCGAGUGGCGGACGGGUGAGUAAUGCUUGGGCAUCUAGCUUAUGGAGGGGGAUAACUACGGGAAACUGUAGCUAAUACCGCUUACAAUAGGAUGAGCCCAAGUGGGAUUAGCUGGUAGGUAAGGUAACGGCUUACCUAGGCGACGCUCCCUAGCUGGUCUGAGAGGAGGAUAAGCCACACUGGGACGGAGACACGGUCCAGACUCCUACGGGAGGCAGCAGUGGGGAAUAUUGCACAAUGGGGGCAACCUGACGCAGCCAUGCCGCGUGAAUGAAGAAGGCCUUCGGGUUGUAAAGUUCUUGCGGUAGCGAGGCGUUAACUACAGAAGAAGCACCGGCUAACUCCGUGCCAGCAGCCGCGGUAAUAC